UUGCAAUGAUAAUUCAGAAAAUGUUUGAGCGUGUCUAAAAAUUCUCUGUGGAAGUCUGACAAUCAUGUCAAUCUGAGUGGUUACCUAAGCAA
This is a small nucleolar RNA of Rosa rugosa (rugosa rose), 92 nucleotides long. RefSeq annotates it as small nucleolar RNA snoR128. NCBI's taxonomy places the organism in Eukaryota, Viridiplantae, Streptophyta, Magnoliopsida, Rosales, Rosaceae. The record is from RefSeq and is a predicted model, not a curated record. The transcript has a single exon.